CCCUGUAAACGUGUGAUAUAAUUAAUGGAUGACCCCCCUCGCGCGACAUGUUUCGGAAAGCCUAGGUAAUGUAUGGUAUAAUUAUAAAUAAACAACAAAACAUAGAAAACACCCAUAACUCGGCAACAAAUCGUCUUCCUCGCGCUGUCCUGCAUUUUUGUCACGGCUCAUGGGAGCCUGGAGCUCGCUUGGCAACAAAUCCCAAGAAUUGACGUAGGUACUAGUUUUUACGAAAGCGACUGCCAUCUCACCUUCCAAGCCAGACGGUAAAUUAAGCCUUAUUGGAAUUACAGUUUCCUCACGACGUUUUCCUUCACCGAAAAGCGACUGGUAAAUAUCAAGUGAUAUUUCGCACAUAAGUUCCGAGAAACAAAUUGGUACGAGCCGGGGUUUGAACCCGCGACCUCCGGAUGGAAAGUCGCACGCUCUUACAGGUAGGCCACCAGCGCUUCUUCAUAAAUCGGGAACAAAUAUUUGUGAUAAACACACAAAUAAACGCCCUUACCAGGUUUUUGAACCCGGGACCUCUCGCUUCGCAGGCAGGGUCACUACCGAUUAGGCUAGGAGGAUGAGUAGGAACUAUAAGUGAGUUAAACCCUUAACAAAGAUAAUUGAUUGUAAUAGAGAGGUAAAGUCUAAGAAAAAAACGUGCCCCUUAGUUUGAAAUCCAAAACAGAUGGCACUGUACUGCGCCAUAUCAAAGAGAAUAGAGCUUAUACAAAAUCAAUAUUUAAUAAGUACAUAUCAGUGAAAGAAUAGUUUUAAUUAGGGAUUUUUAAUAUGUUCUAUCGAAAUAUAGCAGUAAAUGUACAGUGGUUACAUAAUUCACCAUGACAGUAACUCUCUAUAUCAAAUUCUCUUUGGCCAUAUGUUUUGCGGUCACUGAAUUGUCAUUCCUCAACUUUUGACAAUCUGAGUUACCGCAAAAUGUAUAGAGCUGUACAGCGCCAUCUUGUUUAAGUACCCGUCAAAUUCGAAGCACGAAAUUGUCUAAGAUUUUACGCAACUUAAGCGCCACUUGCACCAUCCCACUAACCCGGGGUUAACCGGUUAAAACGUUGAUAAGUAAUCAGUAAAAUUUGACACUGGGUUAACGGUUUAACCGUUUAACCCUGGGUUAGUGGGAUGGUGCAAGCGGCGCU
Cydia fagiglandana is the source of this 1142-nucleotide long non-coding RNA. RefSeq lists it as uncharacterized. NCBI's taxonomy places the organism in Eukaryota, Metazoa, Arthropoda, Insecta, Lepidoptera, Tortricidae. The record is from RefSeq and is a predicted model, not a curated record. The transcript has 3 exons.